Molecule: long non-coding RNA, 463 nt
Filed under: Homo sapiens (human)
Lineage: Eukaryota; Metazoa; Chordata; Mammalia; Primates; Hominidae
Description: HSALNT0093987
Source: RNAcentral
AUCCUUGGCAAAGGAACUCUCCACUGUGGCUUUGGUUUGAACUUCAGCUCUUUAGAGUACAGGGGUCACAUGUGAAUUUGUUAUGCUCUCUGGCAAAUGUUUCAGAAUAAAUGAAUCUGAUGAAAUUCUCAUGAAGUAUUUGUUUUUUAGUGUUUCUCUAAUAUACAAUAAAUUGUAAUUUAUGAGGCAUAAUUGAAGAAAAUUCUGGAGGAAGUUGUGUAUAAGAUUAGGGGGAUUAUUAAAUCAACUUUAUUGUGUUUUCAAAAGUUAAAAAUGGUUUACAGCUAUAAUAAAUUGCUUGAGAGUGCUAUCAACCCAUAAAUUUUAAUAAUUUUAUAAACAUUCUGCAGUUAAGUUGGGCUCAUGGCCAAAUCCCAGGGCUGGUUUUGUGUCAUGUAGUGUGUGUUUCAGUUUACCUGACUGAUAAAGGAAUGAGCUGUUCCUCAUGCAUGACAUGCAGUGA